UUCUAUUUCAAAUUGUUAGAAUUAGGACUUAAUAAAGAAGAAAUUCAUUAAGUAGAAAAAUAUUGCACCGAUCUGAUUUAACUUUAUAAUCGUACUUCAUCCCUCUUUAACCUAUUGUAUUUUUCUUUUUUUAAAAUUUAUUUUUGUUGUUUUAGUGAAUUUUCUGUGGUAAUUUAGAGAAAGAAAAGAUUUUUUUUGGUAAUUUGGUGAGCUUUGGAAGAAAAACAAAAAAAUAAAUAAAUUGUUGAUAUAUUGCAGAGAUUAAUUGUAUUGAGGAUUUUUAUAGUUGUUUAACUAUUUAUUCCAAUAAUUAAUAAAUUUCUCCACAAUUACACUAUUUAUCCUAACAAUUAAUCAGUUGACCAACAACUUAACUCAGUCGUUGAACAACUUAAGUAAUUAUUGGGACAAUUUCUUUAAUCAUUCAACUAUAGAAGUUGUUCCACUAUUGCAUUAGUUGUUCAACUAUUUAAUAUUAGAACUUUAGGUACUUAAAGAUUGAAUUCUUUUUGUUCUGAAUACUAAAUAAUGUAUAACGCGGGACUGGAUUGACUCGGAAUGUUGCUAAUAGAAUUCUUAAGGAGUGAAGAAUACAAUGAGAAGCUAGUCCGAGUCUAUAAAGAUGAAUUGAUAUUUGAGACUGAUCACAAGGUUGAGCAGUGUAGGAUCGACCCUCGAUAUCGCUUUAGGUCAGUGGACGAUGCUGCUGAAUACAUGUGAAUUGUCAUACUAAUUCUUGUCUUUUCUGCACCUUUGUUGUGCAGAUUUUGAGCCGGACACGAGUUACAGGUGAUCAUCGUUCCUUGUUGAUCAUUUGAGAUCGGAGGAAAUGAUGGAGGUGCGAAGCAGCCAUAGAAGUUGAUGAAGCUACACUGAAGCUCUUUCAGGUUUCUCUUAAUCAUUCAGUAAAGCUUUUGGUAAUCCUAUUCACGGAAGCCAGUAUACAAUUUCAAAAAGAGCACAUGGUCUUUAGAGGUACAAAAGACACCGUGUUUGCAAGUUAAAGCAACUAAUUGCAGUCUCUUGAGUUAGAGAAAUACACAUGGUCUUUAGAGGUACAAAAGACACCGUGUUUGAAAGUUAAAGCAACUAAUUGCAGUCUCUUGAGUUAGAGAAAUACUUACUAAAGCCAUCGUUUUUGUGCAAGCACAUCCUUCGACUUAGCAACAGGAGGUCGCCUCCUCCUAGAUUCUGCACUAAUCGAUGAUGCCUGCCUUGGUUUCAAUCUGAAGACUGAAUCCUGUGUCUGAUUCAAUGAUUUCUCCUUCAAGGGGCUUACUGGUCGUGACUUUGGAUGUCUGUCUGUUGGUUUCACUAAUAAAGGUAAGCUUUCGACCUGCUCCUGUUUCUGGUUUUCCCUUAAAGUAUUUUUACCAUGAUAAAUGCUGAUGUCUUGACUAGCAAAAAGAGGUUGAGCUAUUCUCCCAGGGGAGCUAUCUGAAUCUGAAGAUGAAGGGCUAGUAGUACUGUCCAUAUCAUAAAGGAUGUUGUCUGUCAAUGGAGGAAGCAGCACCCCCUUUGAGCUUCUUGAAGAGAAAGAUGGUCUUCUAAGUCUUGUUAGAUUCACAACCUGUUAAAAGCCAAAUUCAAAUCAUAAACCAAAAAUGGUUCACGCUUCGUGCAGGCCUAAUAAAUCAAAUUACUAGUCGAAUAAGUCAAAAUAAAUUUUAGUUUGGAACAUUAAGUUUAAGCAUUCUGUUUUCAAGAAUUCAAAUAUGCUCAAGCAAAUAUAUUGUCAAGAUUAGACCGUAA
This is a long non-coding RNA of Solanum dulcamara, 1752 nucleotides long. RefSeq lists it as uncharacterized. The record is from RefSeq and is a predicted model, not a curated record. NCBI's taxonomy places the organism in Eukaryota, Viridiplantae, Streptophyta, Magnoliopsida, Solanales, Solanaceae. The transcript is spliced from 4 exons.